RNAcentral lists this ribosomal RNA (406 nucleotides) under uncultured bacterium. RNAcentral's name for it is "partial 16S ribosomal RNA". It matches the Rfam family "Bacterial small subunit ribosomal RNA", at positions 30 to 526 of the family's 1533-position model. The record is from RNAcentral.
AUUGAACGCUGGCGGCAGGCCUAACACAUGCAAGUCGAACGAGUGGCGGACGGGUGAGUAAUGUCUGGGAAACUGCCCGAUGGAGGGGGAUAACUACUGGAAACGGUAGCUAAUACCGCAUACCAUCGGAUGUGCCCAGAUGGGAUUAGCCAGAAGGUGGGAUAACGGCUCACCUAGGCGACGAGCCCUAGCUGGUCUGAGAGGAUGACCAGCCACACUGGAGCUGAGACACGGUCCAGACUCCUCCGGAGGGCGGCAGGGGGGAAUAUUGCACAAUGGGCGCAAGCCGGAUGCAGCCAUGCCGCGUGUAUGAAAAAGGCCUUCGGGUUGUAAAGUACUUUCAGCGAGGAGGCGUUACUCGCAGAAGAAGCACCGGCUAACUCCGUGCCAGCAGCCGCGGUAAUUC